Suncus etruscus (white-toothed pygmy shrew) is the source of this 126-nucleotide long non-coding RNA. RefSeq lists it as uncharacterized. The transcript has 3 exons. NCBI's taxonomy places the organism in Eukaryota, Metazoa, Chordata, Mammalia, Eulipotyphla, Soricidae. The record is from RefSeq and is a predicted model, not a curated record.
CUCCUGUUACUACAUCACCUCCAACUUCAAGAGAUCCCAGUGAUGCCAGACCCAGUGACACACCACCUGAAAGCUCCGGUUCUUUAGCUACAUGGAUCAUUGUGGUGAUCAUUGUUUUAAUUACAG